GUUAGCCUUGGGAAUGAAGCUGACGAAGCCGCGUGUACUGACAAGGGCGAACCAUCGCUCUGUCCCCCUACAAGACUCUGUGAGGAAGAAAGAUAUCAAGCAAGUACGAUAGGAAUGCUAACAUCUGCGCGUAGGAUGUACGCUAGGUUACUUGGUGAAUUUAGUGCGAGAGGCUUUGGAACAAUACUCACGCUGAGGCGUAUACAAGGUCUGAGGAGCCUUGGGAUCCAGCGGGCGACAUUACAGUCGUCAAUGGAGGGUCUGUAUGACUGAAAGGGCAGAGAGCAUACACUCGGUCGUUCGGCAACAUAAACAAACACAAUAAAAUGCCGUAUUACGAAGUCA
Long non-coding RNA from Nematostella vectensis (starlet sea anemone), 345 nucleotides. RefSeq lists it as uncharacterized. Lineage: Eukaryota; Metazoa; Cnidaria; Anthozoa; Actiniaria; Edwardsiidae. The record is from RefSeq and is a predicted model, not a curated record. The transcript has 2 exons.